This is a non-coding RNA of Capsicum annuum, 107 nucleotides long. Lineage: Eukaryota; Viridiplantae; Streptophyta; Magnoliopsida; Solanales; Solanaceae. The record is from Rfam.
UAUUGAUGAUGUAGGCAGUCCUAAAGAAGAGCUUUUAACCUCUCUCAUGCAUGAUAUAGGUUCUCAUCUGUCUUUUGUUUGAAGCACACAAUCUCACUGUACAGUCC